CUUAUUCCGCUGCAGUUAAACUUGUUGUCUAUUGUAUUUUAUUAGUUUAACACUGUUGAAGGCUAAUGAUGAUUUAUACUGCAUUAUCUUAGUCAUAAUAUUUCUUACUGGGCUAGUUGAGCUCACCCUUUCUUUCACUGUUCUCUUCAGGAAAUGAGAACGUAGCAGGGACUAGUCGGGGGACAGAGUGAUGGUCCAGAUGAUAGCAUUAGUAGUCCUCACUAUUCUAUGAAAUAGUGUGAUAAUAAUUGUAAUGAGGACUUAUUCUGAGAGUGGAU
This 278-nucleotide long non-coding RNA is filed under the name Panax ginseng (ginseng). RNAcentral describes it as "long non-coding RNA (PGIN_LNC005381)". Lineage: Eukaryota; Viridiplantae; Streptophyta; Magnoliopsida; Apiales; Araliaceae. The record is from RNAcentral.